RNAcentral lists this long non-coding RNA (32603 nucleotides) under Coffea arabica (coffee). RNAcentral's name for it is "long non-coding RNA (CARA_LNC000765)". The record is from RNAcentral. Lineage: Eukaryota; Viridiplantae; Streptophyta; Magnoliopsida; Gentianales; Rubiaceae.
ACCAGUACUCCAGAGGAAAUGGGCAUAGUUAGCUGCAUAAUAUGAGUUGCUGGGGUCUGCAGAUAUGGCUUCUAGAUAGGUCUCUUCGGCAGCCCAGAGGUCUUUCCUCACUUGCCAAAGGAAGCUUGCAUAUUUAUUCAGUGCCUCUGCAUCCUUGGGCUCUACUUUUGCUGCCCUCUUAAAAAAUUCCUCUGCCCUGUUGUCCCAAGAAAGGAGUGAUGAACGAAUGCAUCAGUUCACUAAAUUUGCGCUUGUUUGCAUGAUAUAAUUUGCAAUAAGAUAGAACACCAGAAAUGAUGUAAAAUUUGAAGUCUAUGUUAAUUCAGGGCCUACAUAAAGAAGAAGACUUUUCCUUAGCCACCUCAGCAAUAUAAAAGCAGAAGAACAAAGCAACAACUAGAAGACCUUCUACAUUGAUUGUUUCCCUUUAGCAGAGCGUGUAACACGAUGCUCAAUGACUUUAUUCCAAGAUAUUGUUCUCGCUAAGAGAAGGAUGGACUCCAAGGUCACCACACACUUCUCUAUCAAGAAACUACCCAGACAAAAAUAUAGGCAAAACGACACCCUCUCUAAAAGUCAAGCAUCUUGUGCACUGCACAGCAGUCUGACAUUAGAACCCACAAGUAAUAGACAAAAAUAAUAUCUCUCUUACUCUUUGAUUUUGGUUUCACUUGUUCAAAGAAUUACGUGAUUGAAAACAUUUGCCAAUUCCAAAGGAUUCGUUAAGUAUGGUCUAAAUAGAGAAACUGAAAUCAACAGCUAAGAAAGCUGGUAAUGAAUAGGAUAUUGAAGGAAGAAAAUCUCUACCUGUCAUAAUCUCGAAUGACCAAGUAAAGAAAUUGAGCAUAGUUGGCUAGCAAAAGAGAAUUGUUGGGCUCUUGUGCCAGUCCCGUCUGAUAUAGCAACUCUGUUCUGAAGUAAUCUGCAUAGUCGUCUGAUUCAAUCUUUGCAUUGACCGGGGAAACAAAUCUCUGCAUUGUCUCAUGAUCCAAAGCUUCAUCUCUAGAUGCAGACUGCAUUUUGGAAGCUUCUUCCACCAUAGAAUUCCACAAUCUCAUCUCUUCUUCUCCAGUCACCUGUCCAGAAACUGAAACUUCUUCACUAGUCCUUGAAGGGUUGCCAACAGAUGACACCCCAUCAGGAACAAUUGUCUUAUGAUAAUCGGACGACAUCCUAUCAAACCUUCCAUCCCCAUCUGUACCACUAGCAGCAGGCCUAUGUUUUCCACCACCACCAUUACUUCCACCAAUUGAAGUAGUCUUUCCACUCGAAGAAGACACCGAAAAUGACUUAAUAAACGAAGAAUCAAACUUACUGUUUCCAUGGCUUUGAUCUCCAACCUCAGAAACAGAUUCGGCGGAAGCAGCACAAACCUGGGGAUGGGGGGUGGCAGCUAAGGCAGUAUUGUUAGCCAUUGAAUGAACACUAUAAUUCGCAAGCAAAAUCAUGACAUACACCAUUAAAGUUGGUGUAUGCGAAAACACUUGCUGAAACAACCACACAAAAGAGGCAUGCAUUUCCUUCUGAACUCUCACCAAAAUCCCUUGUAAAUCCUCGUAAAAGAGCAAUUCCCUCAUCUGUAAAGUAUAACUCUGAAGUUCUCGAAUUAUAAACACCAUCGAUGAAAAGGCCUUCUUCACAGAACAAUAGGCGGAUUCACCAACUUCUCUAAACCCCUCUUCCCAUUGUUUUUUCCUCUUUAUAAUCCUAAGCGAAAGAGGGAGCUCUACACUAUUGGCCUUCCGCUCUAUACUAGCAGGAAUUAUCUCCUCUCUUUCAGGCCAAUAGGGGGGCUCCAGAGGAUGAAAGGAUUGAUCUUCUAAAAGUACAGCGUCACCAUUUCUACUAUCAUAACUUUCUCGGGUGCUGCUUUCAGGCCGAUUUUCAGCCUCUUCAGCUUGUUCAUCAUCAUCAUCAUCAGAUAAUUGGAAUCUCAACGCUAAGUCCUGAAUUUUUUUGGAAAAUUCCUCGUCUGAAAAGGAAUCGAGAGUGGCACUGCAAACCCUUCUAAUAAAACGUGGUUUAGAUUUUUGUUCUUGCUCCCAAGAUCCCGUCCUAUAGAGGUUAGAGCAGGAGUUUCCAAGAAAAUUUGAUCGUCCUACGUAUCGGCACAUGCUGAAACUUCGCCUUUUUGAUGAAGGAGAAGAAAUUGCAGAAGCCAACGUCUGUGAAGAAGAUGGGGAGUGAGGAAACGAAGGCUGUGACCAAUGAAAACACGUUGGUGCUACUUUAACUCCCAUUAUACUUUUCUCCUCCUAAAGAUCUUCAGACCCCAGAAACUAAACCUGGAGACGACUAAACCUAAAGGAGUUGUAUAUAUUCUGAUUCCGAUUCCAGAUUCAAUUGAGUAUUCUUCUUAAAUUAGUAAAACCUGCAAAAACAAGAGAGAGAUAAAAAUUAAAAACCGGAGAGCAAGGAGAUUAAAUUAAUUUGAAACCUAAAAACGGAAAAAAAAAAAAAACUUGCUUCUAAAUCAUUAGACCCACUUGGAAUCUCGCAUUAAAAUCGGAUCACAGUACAGCGAUCCAAGAAACAAGUCGUUGGCACGAAAACUUAUGAAGAAAUGAAGACCUUAAGUAAUUAUUAGAAGUACAGAAGCAAAUACUUACGUUGCAAGUGCAAGGCAUAAACGCAGGGGAGGCCGGGUUCAGGAGGCGGUCGGUGAGGAUGAAUACCCGCCGAUCAAGUGGAGUUGGGGGGAGAAGUGUCAGAAAAAGCGAAGUACGAGCGCCGUACCUUCACUUAUCAUCAGGACUAGGCGAUUUGAGGUCUUAUUUAUAUACUACUACCACUACCACUAUUUGUGUGUGUGUGUAUAUCUAUGUAUAUAUAUAUAUAUUAUUACAAUUGCUUAAAAAUGGAAGAAAAGGGAAAUGGCUUUUUGGGGUUCGAUAAAAAAAUCUCAACUUGUCCUCCAACUCCAGGCGGUGAAUAAUAAAUAUUUCGAAAUACUAGUAGUGGCACUUACGAUGAAUCCAAGAGUGCGUGAAUGAGAAUGUAUUCGGAUCUGAAUCUAUAGAUUCUAUACUGUGUGCGAUUCUGUACAGUAGUGUACCAAUACGUAUGAAGAGGAAUGGCUUUUGGAUUCAUUCUAUGUGUGCAUACUCUAUAAGUAGAACAGACAUCUCAGCAUCUCACUUUAACCCCUAAAAAUAAAUUUUUUUUUUAAAUAUUCUUGUUUGGAAUGCCAUUUUUUCCCAAAAUUUUUUACUUUUUUUGUGAAUAUAUAUUUUUAAUACAUUUAAUUGUUACAAUAUAUUUUUCUGUAAAAAUUUUAGAAAAUAGCAAUUCAAACGGUUGGAUGGUGAAAAUAACUACUUACAACUACACUGAGUGUAAAUUUUUUUGAAACCAGUGAGAAAGGGUGCUAGGUGACUUGUACAAAUUUUUGUAAUAUUUAUUAAAUGGGCUUAAUUUUAGCUCCAGCUUGUAUUUAGUGUCUCUCUAUAAUGGUUAAAUUGACUAUAAGUCACUCUUAACAUAAGUGAUUCUCAAUCUAUCUUGUUCACAAACAUUAUUGCUUGUUCAAAUUUUUCCACUACAUUUUUCAAACAUGUACUGAUAAUUUGAAAAAAAUAAAAAAUCACAAAACCAUUUUUGGAUAAAUCGUCAAGUUGCCAUCCAACCAACAAAAUAAUUGCAAAUAAAAUUUUAUUUGUUUGGAAAUAUUUUACAACCAACCAAAUGGAUUUAAAAGGCUAAAAAUUUCAACUUAGGGAAUUUUGUUUCUUUCUUUUUUUUUUUUAUUUAAGUCAUGUCAUGGAUUCAUGAAAAACUGCCUCCCUAGCAUAUUAUUAUGAAUUUGCCUGAGUACUUUCUCGAAAUUUAGUGAAUCACACAAGCUAUGAUCCAAGUUUAGAAAUGUGAAGGAAAUUGAAAUCGAGGGCCUAACAGAAACAAAUUUAACUUUGGGUCACAUUCAUAGUUUUUUGUAUUUAUAGAAGUUUUUUUUUUUUAUUGUUUUGACGAUGUGUUUAUAGAAGUUAAGUACUUUAAGUUUUUGGCUUAAAAAAAAUAACAGAGAAUUAUUAAUCGUGAAUUUAUGGGAGUACGAGUUUGGUUUUUGGUAGUCCGAGUCAGAUGCCAAGUUGUGAGAGGAUGCAAAGACUACUGAGUCUGACGCGGCAAAGUUCACGGGGUUUUAGAUCUUAUCUGGGCAUUGAGCAUGUGCCACGUGUUCACACCGACCUCAUUUAAUGGGAACUCUUUUACUUAUACAUAUUUACCUUCACUAAACAGUCUAACAACACCGUCUUGUUACUGUUCUCCCACGUUUCUACAAUUAAUUAAAUUGCCUUAAUUUCUAAGUACAAUAUAUUUUUUUGUUCAAAUAGUUCCCACAUUUAUUGGGGUACUUCAGAAUUGGGACAUUGAAGAAUAAAUUUUUUUGAGGAGAUACAUUAAAACUCUUUAUUUUCUUUGAAAAAAAAAAAAAGGUUACAAGUGAAAAGUUUGAUUACGCAUUUGGUAAUUUAAGGAAAAUUAGAAUGAUUACAUGUAUAACUCGAGAUUAAUUGUCAUUACCAUUUGUGCUGCUCCGCACAUGGAUGCGCAUAUAGAUGAGGAAGGCCAAUUUGGUGGUUAAGACUUAAAGAAGUGCCUUUUGACACUUUUUCACUAAAACAAGAAAUCAAUCAUGUGACUCUAAGGUGGCAUCGUUUGCCAAUGGUUCCACUCCACAUGCCAAUUAGUGAUUAAUUUUAACUGGAACACUAGGUUAAUUUUUUACCGCAAAACAAGAAUAAAAUAUGGUGUGAACAAUUUUGGUUGGAUUUGUUUGAUGAGACUUGAGAGAGAGUCAAUGCUACGCGAUUGUGUUUGAAUUGUAAAUUAUUCGAGAUGAUUUUAAAAAAUAUAUUUAUGAUAAAAUAAAUAAAUUUAUACAAAUAAUCCAAAAACAGUCUAGUAUUUGCACGAUUGCAAGUGGACUUAGAUUUUUACUGCACUGUUGAAAUGCAAUUUGACAAGAGUGUCCAAUUAAUUCAUCAGCUAGCGUUCCUUUUCUUAAAGUGUACAAACCACUCAUAUGCAAAACCGAUCUAUAUCGAGUUCCACUUCAACAUCCCCCGCACCCCAACCACACAAUUACCCCUCCAUGUUCCAAAAGAAAAUGGUUUACCAAAAAAUGUCUAUUUUCGUAAAUCAUACAAGAAAACUUGCAUCUAUUGUUCAGGAUUUGACAUUUUUAUUAGGUAAUAUUUCCAAUCUCCUUUCAUUUCUCUAUUUCCCGGUUUUGUGCGGUUAAAUGACUUUAAGUGUUAUUCCAAAUAAGUCUUUUAAGUUUUUUUUUUUUUUUUGGGUUAAAGAAGAAAGAUAUAUAUGUUGUACUAGUACUUACUCAUGGUGCUUGCGAGACUGAAUUGGCAAUAGGCAAUUAGCCAUAGUACCUUUGAUCUGCGUUUGAAUUGAUAUUUUUUGAAAAACAAGAUUUUCAUAUUUACUGUUAUCGCAAUACACAAAAAAAAACAUAAAAAAUAAUCUAAAAAAUACCAAAAAAAAAAAAGUUUAAAAAAUAACCUCAUUUACAGUAAAAGUUUUUCACCUGUACUGUUACAGUAAAAUAUUUUAAAAACACCAUAAAAAACAGAUAAUCCAAACGAAGCAGAAUUUUGAACAAUAUGUCAAUAUUACUAUGGGACUUGACGUUAUUCGCAUAUCUUAAUUGGAAGCUGAUCGGAUUUGGAGAUAUUCACAUAUAGUUAUCGACAACUUGUAAAGAAUCUCCAACCUCUGGCUGAAAUAGUCAUUGCGAGGCACAUAACAGCUGUGUGCUUAUUUGGGGUGCUUCCCAUUCAGGAUGAUAAUAACCGCUUUUUCCAUUUUGAUUCCGAAGAAUAUUUGUUGAUAGCUCUACUCGUUCAACAGCAGAGGAUUUCCAUUCAUGGCACUGGUAGGUAGAAACAUUACAUCUUACGUGAAGCAUAAACUACUGAAAAAAAAAAUAAAAAUUUCAUCCCUUGUUCAUUUAACCUGAAAUUAGAGAUGCGAAGAGUAAUACGCAAGCAUUAAUUUGUUCAGAAUAGCAUUUCAUAUUUCUUGUCUAGAUAUGUUGCCCUACUACUACAUCGGGGAAUUGUUGCUAUGUUUUCAGGAAAUCCCAAUUCGUAUCCUCAACCGUAAAAUGAGUAAAUUCGGCCGUGGAUAACAGAUGACAACAAUAAUAAUAUUAAUGUAUCAGGAAGGUUUUUGGGUGUAGAUUCACGCGGCUGAACGAUGUAUCAGGUCAUUAAUUCAAGGUGAGAUUCAUUCUCUUGAUUGGUCUGUUAAAGCGAACUCAAGCAACAAUGCCACUGGAACUGCUUUUAGAGUUUUAUAGAACGAAGGAGAGAUCAAUGUGAACAUCACGGCGAUAUUUUCCCAAACGAUUUUCAACUAUUUUACAACUUCAUCACUUUUUAUUUGGUGGGGAAAAAAUCACCACAAAUCAACAAACUUUUCACUGUAGCCCAUGCGGCCAAACUUGUACGUGAAGUUUUUGAACAUCGAGUUCAGCCAAACACGUUUGUUUGGAUAAGAGUUUAUUUGGAUGAUUUAUUUGAGAUAUUUACUGUAGCACUUUUUGUGAUGUGAUGUAUGUGAGAUAAAAAGGUGAUUGGGAAGAUAAAAAGGUGAUUGGGAUUUGUGAAAACAAAUUAAACAAACCAAAUUUGGCUUGUCCAAACAAACAAACCAAAGAUUGCUAUUUUCUAAAAUUUCUGCAGAAAAAUGAAUCGUAACGAUGUAAUGCAUAUAAAGUAAAAGAGUGAUUGAAAAAUGUAAAAUUUUUUUUUUUUUUUUGAAAAAAAUGGCAAUCCAAACAAGGCAGUUUUUGAAAAUAUUUUUUUUCAACAGUUUUGUUCAUGCAUCUUUUCAGCACAGAAGAAAUCAACGAGAAUGGAGGGCGUUCUAUAGCUAAGAGUAUUCGACAAGAAUGAACCAUCCAACGUCAUCCACUUGGAAAGCAACUGAACGAGAUCUUCUCUGCUUCUAUUAUAUGGUAAUUAGCAAUUAAUUUCGUUUACAUAACUCAAAGCUGUUAUACAGCGGCCGGGCGAUUAAACAUUUAUUUGCUUCCAUAUUUUACGAUCGUCGUUAUUUAUGAAAUUUCUGGAUCUGCUUGUUAUACGUGAGGCUAAAAACAAGGCCCUAGUCUGAUAUUAAGGAAAAUUUUAUAUAUAUGGGUAAGGAUUGACCCGGACACCCCUGUGUCGACAAAAAAAAAAAAAAAAAAAAAAAAGAGGGUACUUGCAUAUGGCAUAAAAAUUCUAAUGAACCCGUUUGGGUCAAUUACAUUUUUUUUUUUUUUUUGAGUUUUGAGAUUUUUUUUUGGUGUAAAAAAGUAGUAAUCCAAAGAAGGCCGGCCUUAAAGUUCCAGACAAAUCACUAAUCAAGAUGCAAAUUUUUGAGCUCUGGAAAUACCACGUGAUCACUAUGUUGUUGAUGGUUUAAUACAAUAAAUAAAUUAUUGUGGUGUUUCUUGUGCUUUCAAAAGGGUGCUCGAUUGCUUAUCUUCUCUUCUGUAAAAUAAUGCGCUUUCGUCCAAUCUGGAGUUUGAAUAUUUUACAAUAUCUUCGCAACUCGGGUGCUUGAUUGAUAUUGCUUAUCUUCUGUUAAAUAAUAAUGUGCAUCCGUCCGUUCUGGUGUUCUAUUAUUUUUCAAUAUCUUCACCACUGGUAACAACUCAUGAAGAAAAGACAUCAACACUGAAUUUUUGAACGGAAAUACUUCUCUUAUAAUCGAAAUUUGGAGCCUUUUUCCGCCGAAAAGACAUCAACAAUCAAUUUUUAAUGGGAGAACUUUUCCUUUCUCACACUAAAAGAAAUUUGGAGCCGUUCAUACCAAAAUAAAGGCAACUAUUGGGUGAUCAAAUCAUGAAUUUUAUGAAACAACAAUUAAAAAGAAUACCUAGUUGGUGCUGGGGGUGAGAAACCGACGGUCCAAAUUCGGGGCUCAGAAAAUGCUAAGCUGUAAGAAGGGGCCAACCCAACUUGGUUUUGUUGCUAUCAUGGGAGGUAAGCAGGAAGUGAACAGUGAUGGUGACUGCAGCGGCAAUCGGAUGUUCUUGGGCCGUGAUAAUUUUUUUUAAGAGCAACUCCAUUCUCUAAUUGGUUUACUCCUGAUAUCCUGUCCUGUCGAUUUUUGGCUUCUUGAAUAAUGACUCAUUUUGUAUUGUAUGAAGAUUCAGGAGCAUGGUUUCCAUCAAAAUUUGACAUUAGGCACGAACAAUGAGUUCCAUUUCAAUGAGGGAGGAAAAAAAAAAAAAGAGUCGUAAUAGAAUGUUUAGAGAAAAUUUACGGUAUGUCUUAAUUUUUAUUUUUUUUUGGAGCAAAUGUGGUUUCUUAUUGAUGAUAACCAAUGGAGAUUACAGUCAUCAAGGGAAAUUCCAGAUUUUGUUUUGGCCAUCACGGGAUUUUCUCUGUUUUGUAUGAUCAUGAGUUGAUUGAAUUUACCCAAGCUUAAAAUUGGGAGGGGCCAUGGCACCUAAAACAAGUUUAAUGAAUUGAUCUCAGUCAUGGAAAGAAAAAAGGACAACUCGAGAGCAUACUCCUGUCUAUACCAAGAUGCCUGACGGUGACGGGCUAUCGUUUAGCUUAAUGCUCUUAUCCUUAUCUAUUCUAAUCUGAUGUUGACUCUAAACAAUAAUUAACUCUCACGGUCCAAAGAAAGCAAUGGUCCUUCCAUAGAACUCUUUUCUCCCUUCUCUCCCUUUCAUCCCUCUCGUGGGGGAGAGACCAAAUCUGGUCUUUCCCUAUAGGAGGAAGUACUCUUUUAUAAUUUUUAGUUUUUUUUUUAUUUGAAUAAAUUCUCUCAUAAGAUUUCUUAACGAGUGAUUCGUCUCUCCUAGGAUCUCCUAGUGAGAGCUUUUUCUCUUCUAAAUUAUUCUAGUGAGAGUUUUAUUUUUUCUAGAUUUUUCCUUGUGAGAGUUUUUUAGGUUUUUAUGUUUGUGAAAUUUGAGAUUUUGUGGAUUUAGAAUCUAGUUUCUCAAAUUUGUAAUUUUUUCAUUAUUAUCAAAUCAAAAUCUUUUUGGGCUCGAACCAGUUUUACUCAGAUCUGAUUGUCAGCAUAUAUGUUACGGGAUUCAUCCGGAUGGAAGAUACAUAAGAGCAUCAAUAUUAUCUUUAUUUGUAUUAUUUUUUUAGAUCUGUUAUAUCUAUUAAUUUCAUAUCUAUAUGUAUCUGUGUCAUGUUUGUUUGAUAUAUUUUUAGCCAUUAAUGCAGAUUUGUUUGAAUGAAAUGACCUUUUCUAUAUAUAAUAUAUAUAAAAAUUCUCACGGUCCAAGAUCAGAAUGCACAGCAACUAGAACAUUUAAAACGAGGUGAUAAUUGUCCGGACAAUUGAGUAAUGAUUCAGAAAAGAAGAUAAAAGUAUAGCAUCCCCACUUAACUGAGAUAACUAUGUUGUCUAUCAACUUAAUUUUCCCCUUUGUCCAUGACAUGGGGGCAUAAAUUAGAGGGUCAAUUAACUUGGUUUCGCACCCCCUGCGUGAUGCAUCGAGUUACGAGUUUAAGACCUCCCCUACACACAUUUUUUGCUAGGGGGUACCUAAACACGCACAGUUCAUCUGCCCAACAACAUAUAUAGCUACCGGAAAAUGCAUGAGCACGUUCGCACGUUAUUAAUCAAGGUCAGACCUUCAAUUUCUUAAUAAAUAAUCUGUCACGUCGCAUGUUAAAAAAAAAAUAAAAAUUGUAGUAUGGUUUCUUCAUGAUGAUCACUUUGCUUGCUCGUACAUGGAAAUUGCGAUCAAUGGCAAGAUGAUGCCUAACUGCAUAACAGCUGCCCUACCAAGAAUUACCCCGCUGUUCAUAUAAGAGUGGUUUUAGAUCAAAGCCUGAAUUGUCUGGAUGAAAGUUUCAGAAGGAUAAAAUUUGACAUAAGAUGCGGGAUCACGUUCAUAUAAUCAAGGAGAUAAGUAUUGUGAAUAGUAGUCACGCUGGACAAAAAAAACAGUUCAGUCACAAAGGCAGAUGAUGAUGAUUGAUUGACUGUACUCCGAAAAUGCUGCAGUUGGGUGACAUGUAGAACAUUCUGGGUUGAUGUUGCAUGAUAUUUUUCACGUGAGAUGUUCAUAUUUUGUACUUGAAGCUGAAGGUUCUGAUUAGUUUUAUAACAUGGAUGCACAUUUCAAUUAUUAUCAACUUACACGUAUCGUUUCCUGCCUCGGUCACCAAAAAAGAUAGGAGAAACAAGUAGAACGUUUCACAAGUUGCCGUGCAUGGUUGCAGAGUGUUCGAUUCACUGUAACAGUGAAUUAUCCUGAUGCAAAUGGACCAAUCUUUACAUGCAGACUGUUGAUGAUUAAUUGCUCGGAAAUACCUACUCAGCAACGAGGAACAUAAAGAAUAGCUGGACUUGUACAGUUUGGCGGUGCAGGUCUAGACUCCAGAGUCUAGAGGUGGCAAUGACAAAAAAGCCCCCCAGAUUUUUCAUUUUUUGCGUGUGUAAUGUUCACCAGAUAAAAUUUGUCUACAACACAUUAAUUAUUGUUAGAAAUUCGUAGGCUUGAACGGUGAAAAGGAUUUUAUGUCAUUACAAAUCAUUUGUUAAGGUAAUUAGUGGUAAACCAAGGUAUGUGUACUUUUAUAGCCCUCAAUAAUAUAUACUUUUUUAAAAUCAGCCCUGCACCAUUAUUCAUUGAAAAUCACUUAAGUUGAAUUAAAAGAUGUUUUGUUCGAGAGCAUGUAGAAAAUUAUUUUUAGAAAUGUCAGACGGAGACAUCACCUUUCAGCCUCCACCUGUCUUUGGUAUUUGAUAUUUUCCCUUUCCUCGCAUUAUGAGUGUGUGCAUGCAUCAGAAAGAAUUGGUGGGCAAUUUAUGAAAAUGCAUUACAAGAACUAUUCUCCAUGAAAAGCUAGAUUGAUAAUCGGUAAUCGAGAGAUUGAAGAAUCGUCUAGACUUGGAUGAUAGGCAGCAUAUGAGAAAAUGUCGACAGGUAACUUGUGAGCAGGUUUGGUUAAAUCUCAAUUCAAAUUCGAUCAAUAUAAAGCGUGAAUUGACUUGGUGAGCGGGAUUAAUCGAGUCGAGUUUAUAGAUAGUCUGAUAGUUAACUCAUUAAACUAGUUUGAAUUUAUAUAUUUGUAAUAAUAAAAUUACAUAUAUUCCUCUAUAUUUUUAUUAGUUAAUUAGGGUGAAAUGUCAAUUUUAUCCAUUUUAAAAAUCACAAAAAUUUUCCUUUCCCAUCCGCCAUAUAAAUUUUUUCUGAACACAACCAUUUCACAUCUAACUCUUUUGUUUCCUACUAUAUGCAAAUUACCAUACAUUUUUUUUUAAAUUACCUUAUUGCUUUAAGUUGACCUAUUCUUAGAGGAAAAUACAAUAAAACGAUCAUAUACAAUAGUUGGAGACGUACGCUUUAACAUGGUUCUCUUCAUCUCUUAACAACAAUAACAUGAAAUUCUCUGUAUAACGGGGGGAACAAGCUGCUAACACCCACACCGCGUGCCGUGUAUGUACAAUCGUACACUAGUGAUAUUUGAACUUCCGUUUGGAUUAGUCAUUUUUCCAAAAAAAAAAAAUUCAAAUACAAUGUUACAAUAAUAUACAAUAACUCAAAAAAAUCUCAUUCAUACAAUAUGUCAAAUAUUUUUAAAAAAUUUUAUAGUAAAAAACUUUCAUAUACAUUACUACAGUAACAUUUUUGCAAAAACACCCCAAAACAGCUAAUCCAAAUGGAGCCGUAGUUAUCUGAAUAUUAAACUGUAGUUCUCAUACAAAUAAUGAUCGAUUUUUGUUUUAUUCAAUUUAACUCACUCCCGAACCAAAUAAAUGAUCAAGCAACUGUUUCUCUCUUGCAUUAUUAGGUGGCGUUUGGUUCGCACAUUGGAAUCGGAUUCAGAUUCGGAAUCGGAUAUCUUGGGUUUGGAAUGAAGUCAUUCAUUCCAAUACAUUUGUUUGGUUCAAGUACUUGGAAUGUGUAUCAUUAUUAUAAUUGAUGUUUGGUUUGUCGACUCUUUCGAAAUAGAAUAUAAUAAAUAUAUUAUAAAUCACAUCGUAAAUGAUAGUUAUUGGCUCUUUGUAAAUGGGAUAUAAGAAAUUUUCACUAAUUAAAUAUAUUAGUAUAAAUGUAUUAGUAAAUUUAGUCUAACUGGAUAAAAAUUUCUAUUAGUAAACAUGUAUAAUUAUUAGUAUAAUUGAUAAUAUUAAUUAUAUUACAUAAAUUAAUAUACAUUAUAUAAUACAUAUAACUAAUAAUAUUGUUAUUAUAAGUUUGUAACUAAUUAAAUUAAAUAUUAUAUAUAUAAUUAAAUAUAAAUAUACAAAUGUUAUAAUAUAAAUAUAUAAUUAUUAUUAUAUAAUAUAUACAAAUAUUAAUUAUAUAAAUAUUUUAUAUAAAUAUAAUAUAUAUUACAUAUUAAAUAUAGUUAUUAUAUAUUAUUAUAUUUAAAAUAAUAAUAAUAAUAAUUAUUAUAUAACUUAUUAAUAUUACAUACAUGUAUAUAUUAUAAUUAUAUGCACUAUAAUAUACAUUUAUAAAUAUACAUAUAUAUUAUAAUAUAUUAUUAUAUAAUAUUAAUAAUAUAUAUAUAUAUAUUAUAUAAGUAUAAUUAUAUUUAACUAAAUAAUUAUAUAAUAUAAUAAUAUCAUUAUUAUAAUUUUGUAACUAAUUAAAUUAAAUAUUAUUUAUAUAAUUAAUUAUAAUUAUACGAAUGUUAUAAUAUAAAUAUAUAAUUAUAAUUAUAUAAUAUAUUAAUAUUAAUUGUACUAAUAUUUUAUAUAAAUAUAAUGCAUAUUAAUUAGAUAUAUUAUUAUAUAUUAUUAUAUUUAAAAUAAUAAAUAUAAUUAUAAUUAUAAUUAUAUAAUUUAUUAAUAUCAUAUACAUGUAUUUAUUAUAAUUAUAUGCACAUAUAAUAUACAUUUAUAAAUAUACAUAUAUAUUAUAUAUAAUAUUAAGAAAUUUAUAAUAUACAUUAUAUAAAUAUAAUUAUAUUUAACUAAAUAAUUAUAAUAUAUAUAUAUUUAUAUAAUAUACUAAUAUUAUAAUAAAAUAUAUAAUUAUUAUAAAAUUUAUAAUUAUAAUAUAUUAUAUAUAUGUAUAUAUUAUAAUAUAAAUAUUAAUAUUAAUUAUACUAAAUAUUAUGUAAUUAUAAGAUUUUGGAAUCACACUUGGGUUUUGGACAAAACCCACCCUUUUACUAAGGAAUGGAGGGAUGCCAAAUUUUUAGAAAUCAUUCCAAAAUUUCAAUUCUCAUACCAGUGAACCAAACACCAAUUAUGGAGUUUAUUCCAUUCCUUCAUUCCGAUACCCUUUUACCAAACGCCCCUUUAGUGUUCCCUUAUGUCCAUCUGAUUUUGAGAUUUCGUAUUUGAUAUAAACAUUUGGAAAUUGUUUAUUUGGUUGGAAACAAAAAAAACGUGCACAAUGCAAAUAACAUUUAAAUAUUCCAAAUUAUUUUUCUGGUUGGAAAUUAAUAUUCUGCCAAGACAAGGACACUAUGGUAAUUUGACAUGUAAAAUAUCUGAGGCUCUCGAGCAUCCAUAUCGUUUUCAACAUUCAAUUGCGGGUCAUUUUCAACCGGGCCAUGUUGAAAAUUCCAUUGUUCCCACAACAAUGAAUUUUUAGUUAGCGGACCAGAUCCAUUCAUGUCCAUAUAAAUCCAACUGUAUUUCGACGGGAUGAAAAUUGGACGUUAUUAUGAUUGAGCUGUUGCUAUUCGGCUUUUGUGGGCGACGCACGGCAUUUGAUAACUGUGUAUCAAUCUUUCGAAUGGAACGACUGAGGACAUGGAAGGUAACAACUCAAUUUUAUUUAUUUUUUAUCGCGAUGAUAAUAUUUGUAUAAUCUACUCUAAUAGAGUCUAAGGAAAGCGAGAGUCCACCGAAUAUUUCGAUUGAAAAAAAUCACAAUUAAAUAGCAAGAUGGGAGGUCAAGGAUUCAUCCCACCAAGACAUUUAUGCCAUGUCUUGGUAAAUGUAGAUAGUGAUACCAAGAGCCCAAGAGGCUAUUGGCCACAACUCAACCAUAAUAAUGUCCAAUUUUAGUUCCUGCCCCCCUCCCCCCUCCCCCCUCCCAAAAAGAAAACAAAAAAGUCCUAUAAAAUUUAUCAUAUUUGUCAUCUUUUCUUGUUCUAAAUUAAUUGUCAUUAUUAAAAAUAUCAACUCUUCUUUUUUUUUUUAAUAAAAUUUUAUCUUUACACUUCAUGUGAUUCAAUGCUUAUUUUUUACAAUUAUCAAUACAUCAAAUUAAAAGCUUGCCAUCUACUAAGGAUAUAAGAAAAAAAUUUCCUACUAAUAGUAGUAUUAUACAUAAAUUGCCUGCUCUUUCAACGACGACAAAUUUUAUGAGACAGAGAUGGUAUAUAUUUUGUGGCACUGGAGUAGAACUUAUGUAAGAAUAGAACCAGACCAGCUGUGGAUAAUCUCAUUUUUCGUUACCCUCUCGAGCUUGGUUCUCGACGCUUAUAGGCUUGUGGCAUAGUUUGGUUCGUACUCGACUUGUGGUUUGAUCUCCAGAAAGUUUAGGUUUAACACUGCCUAAAGAUAUUGGAAAAAUUUGCAAGAAAACUGUUUUUGUUGUAAUUCAUGAUUACUUUCAGUCUUUCACUUUCAACUCUUGCGGGAAAAUAAAAAGCUGCGUAGGCUCGCUCCCUCUUAUUCAAAAAAAGAAAAGAUUUUUGGGCUUUUAAAGCUUGGGUUGCAGGCUUAAAAUAUGAUAUUCAUAUUCAGCUAUUGGGCCCUCUGGCCAAAUUCACAAUAAUUAAAUAUAAUGUAUAUUAAAUAAUGUUUCUGUGUUUAUACACUGGAAUGGUAUAUGCUUUUUCGAUCUCUUCUUCUUCAAGUAUCAUGAUCAGGAAAUGACAUGCACCUAUAAGCAUAAUUAUCCACUCAUGUUUCUGUGUUUAUAGACUGGAAUGGUAUAUGCUUUUUCGAUCUCUACUUCUUCAAGUAUCAUGAUCAGGAAAUGACAUGCACCUAUAAGCAUAAUUAUCCACUCUUCCAGCUUUUGGGCUAAAUGCUUGUGUUGCUUUUGAUUCUUUUCAUUUGUUAUACAUCAUCAACAAGAUCAAUCCUCAGUUAUUAAGGAAUCAGAAACUAGGUUUUAGUGCUCGUGUCAUCUGUUAACUAAAUCUCCAUAGGUGGCUUUGUUGAGUGUCAAACUAAAGUUGCCAAAAGGGGGUUUUAUUUAACCAUUUGGAAUGUCAAUGGUGCCCUGCCCUGAAACCAUGACUUUGAGAACAAAUAAUUGAUCGAUUAAUGCAUAAAUCCUUUCUCACAUUGCAGGUUUUUCAAAGGGAACCGUGCAGCGUUAGGUGAAAUUGCUAACCUUCUCUUCAAUGGAAAUGAGAAACAGGUGCAUGGAUUUGGAAGAAAAUCUGGACCUCUAGUAGCAGGGACUGCUUAUUGCCUUUCUUCUUGCAGCAUGAUCUUACUGAACAAAAUUGUCCUAUCAAGCUAUGCUUUCAGUGCUGGAAUUUCACUUAUGUUUUACCAGGUAUCUCGAAUUAGUAGUUCUGUGUUUCUUUUCUAUUAGUAAAAAAGGUUGUGCUAUAUGUCUGCACCAUUUUCCUUAAUGAUCUACUAAUUAUUGCUAAACUUUGAUUCUUCUAUUGUUCUCUUAUUAGAGCACAAUUCCGCUUUUCCUUUGCAUGAAUUAUAUAUCUUUUUGGGUGGAAUUCAUUUAAGGAAUCAGUGAACGUUGAUGUAGCUUAAUCGUUUGUGUUACUUUAUGCAGAAUUUUAUCAGUUCUCUUGUUGUUGUUGUUUUGGGUCUCUGUGGAGCUGUUUCAGUGGAAAAGCUAAAUUGGAAACUUAUUAAAGUCUGGAUUCCUGUUAACUUAAUAUUCAUUGGAAUGCUUGUAUCAGGCAUGUACAGGUACGUUCUAUUGUGCUGUAAUGGCUGUCACAGCUGGAAAAGCAUCACUUGUGCAUUCUAGUUUGGAAAAUUUUCUUAGGGAGAUUUUUUUUCAUAUCAUUGAGCCAAGGAUAUUUCUUGUGAACCUUUUCAGUCUGAAAUACAUAAAUAUUGCAAUGGUGACAAUUCUGAAGAAUGUGACAAAUAUUUUAACAGCAAUUGGAGAAUUUUAUCUUUUCCGGAAGCGUCAGAAUCACAAAGUGUGGACUGCGAUGUUUCUUAUGGUACUUACAUUCUUUCCUAUGAGUGUGAUGCUUUUAAACUAAUUGCCUAUGGAUAUGAUUUUGGAAUCAAGUAGUUUAUGUUAUCAUUCUUAGUAGAGUACUUAACUGCAAGUCCAGUUAUUCCAUUGUCCCUAGUAUCCAAAUUCUCAUCAAUAGUAAAGUAUGUCUUGGUAGCAGUAGGUCUUUUUGAACAGUAGUCUUCACAGGUGUUAUUUUUGAACAGUAGUCUUCACAAGUUAGCACCUGUGAGUAAGGGCAGUCUUAGACAAUGCUGUUGUGCUUUUUCAACUCAUUUCGAAGAGGUAUACCAUAAGAAUUGCUCCACUGAAUCUGGAAAAGGAUUUUCUUUCUGCUCCUUUAAGAGUUCUAUUAUGAAAUCAAAAUCUGUUAAAUCUUGUAUAAAAACUAAUCAGGUGAUUGUUUUGGGUAUAGCAGUUGAGGCUCCAUUGACCUGAAUGUACAAGAAAAAUUGAAACUUUUGAUAUAUGACCUCUCGCAUGAAUUUUAGCUGUUCUGGUACAUGCUUGAUCUGCAAUUCAAUGAAAAACUUUAUUGUCCCACGAUGUUACCUUUCUGCUUUUGCUACUACUCGUGUGUUUCAAACCUGUUAUCUGAAUCACUCUGCAAUUUUACUCUUCCACGCCUCGCCCGGUCUAAAAUAGUGGGGGAUAUUGUGAGCAAGGGAGGGGAGAAAAUUGGGGUUCACAGUGAAAUCUCUGAUAGUUUGUGUUUUUUCAUUGCAGAUAACAUCUGCCAUAAGUGGAGGAAUAACAGAUCUCUCAUUUGAUGCCACGGGUUAUGCGUGGCAAACUUUGAACUGCAUUUUAACUGCAAGUUACUCGGUAUACUUCUUUAACUCGGACAGAGAAACCAAUUGACAAAUCUGAAAUAACAUUGACAACCUGAAGUAUUCUCCCGUGCAUUUACCUAAAAUUUUGUGUAUUUUCAUGCUGCAGCUCACUUUGCGACGAGUUAUGGACAGAGCUAAGCAAUUGACAGAAUCUGGAUCACUUAAUGAAGUUUCAAUGGUGUUACUAAACAAUUCAUUAUCUUUACCAUUUGCAGUCUUGUUGAUUCUCGUGUUCAAUGAAUGGGAUUAUGUAAUUAAUGCGUAUGUGCCUUCAUCCUCAAGCUGUGUUAUUAUGCUAUUUUGCACCUCUUUGAUAAGCGGUUACUUUUUGUGCUAUACUAGAGGGCGGAGGGGAGAAAAUACUACUAUUGUUUAUGACUGUUUUAACUGGUGCAGGAAUGUAAUAAGGAUGCCAAUGUUUUGGGUUGUUGCGACAGCUAGUGGGCUGCUUGGACUUGCUAUCAGCUUCAGCUCUAUGUGGUUUUUAAAUCAAACUAGUCCUACGACUUACAGGUACUCAUGCGAAAUUAUCUUGGGGUAUGCCUGAUAUACAAAUCAGAAGAAAAUCGAAUAUUGUUUUAAGCUUUCUGCCUUCUCUUAAUCUGACAUUGUUUCAGCUUACCACAUCUUUUUUUUUUGCUUAAUCGCAGUCUGGUUGGUUCCUUAAACAAGAUUCCUAUUUCUAUCGCUGGAAUCAUAGUUUUCAGGGUUCCUGUCAAUUUUCCCAAUUUCUUCAGCAUACUAUUUGGUCAGUUUGCUGCCAAUCCUAUUUGCUAAAAAUUUUCGUUUGUUAUUUUGUUUGAUACUGUGAGGCUAACUCGAUACAGUUUUCAGGUUUAUUUGCUGGAAUAUUUUUUGCCAGGGCAAAGAUGUCGUAAUACUUAACAGGCCAAAGGGAAGAUGAAAACUCCUGGGAGAGUAUAUAGAGUUUCCCAUAAUCAAACAAAAAGUUGGAGUUAUUGUCCCAAAAAAAAAAAUCAAAUUAUAACUGAGAGAUGAGCAAGUGCAACGCCUCAAUAUAUAGCAAAGCUAAUUUAUUACUCUAGAAGCACUAGGCAACUUAGAAAAUUUUUUUUUCCAGGGCGGAAUUUAGAAAGAAAGCUGUUCUCGUAAUCAUCAGUUUACUAGUCUUCAGCACAUUCUCUAAACAAAGGUUUAAAAUGGUGUUAAACAUAUAUAGUAAUUCGUUUUGCAUCUCUGAUCGAGUAAUUCUACUUUCCGUUUACUCUUCCCUAUCGCUUCGUAAAUUCAUCCCAUUUACAUUUGGCAUAUGUUUCUCGUAUGCCUUCUUGUUGCGUCAAAUUAUUUUUUCAAUUUGGUUAUUUUGGAAAAGAGGUCAUUUUCGGGCUGACAAAUAUAAGGAAGCUUAAUAAUAGAAUAAAAACAUGGGCUUUGAUUUGUUUUAUUCUUUGGAAGACCCACAAUAAAAGCAAUAUAAUUAUAUUGGAAUAUUGUAUAAAUAACCUUUUGGAGAUCAAAGCAGGUGGAACAAUUUAAAAUAGAGUAGCGACUAGUUGUGCGGUAUUUCUCAAGAUAUUAUUGAGAUUUGGGAGUUCAUUAAACCUCCUCAUACUUUGCCUACUGUCCUAAAAAGUUAAAUAAAAAUAAAAAUUUAACUUCGACCUUUUAUGGACUGUGACGUACCAUAAAAUGAGCUUGAAGUACAACAGGUCUACGGAUAAAUGGAGUCAACUCAAGGACACAUCUUUAAGUAAAUAUUCAAUAAGAAAAACCUAAUUUAUGACACUAAAACCUCCUAGUGCACAGCACGAGCAUUUACUUGAAACGCUUGUCAACUUCUUCCAUAAAAAUAUAUUAAUCAAUAAACUAAUUAAAGUUUAGCAACACUAAACUUCAAUUGAAGCCACCAAAAAAAGGUAAUGGUACUAAUUUUCCAGAAUGUCAUUGAACAUGCUAAAUGCUAAAGGUACAGACAUGAUCCACCAACGUGAAAAAAAACAUUUUAAGAAAGGAAAAACUAUCUUAAGAAUUCGAAACCUGUAUUAUUCAGGAAAUAAUUUAUGAGUAUUUAUCAACAAUUGAACUAUUAAGAAAUUGGGCACGUGCGAAAAAAAUAUUUUGUUGGUUUGUUAGUGCUUUAUUUUUCUUUUCGAGCAAAAAAUAUGUUGUUUUUAAAAAAUUAGUGUAUCAUCCAACAAAUUCUGUGACGUGAAAAUAUUAAUUUUGAUAAUUGAUAAUUUGUUUAUUUCAUUAAAGUCUCUAUUACUAAAUGAUAUUGAAUAUAGGAAAACAUCUCUCGUAGUGAUGUCCUAUUUGAUUAUUUUUCCGUGGCCUGACGGCCAAUUAUAAAGCAACCUCUUUUGUUUUUAGCAUCAUUCUUUGACCCUGUUGAUGAUUUCUAAUAGUCAAACCAACCAUUGGAAACUUCAUUAAACGCGAUAUUAUGUCAAAUUUACUAAUAGCUUGCAUGAGCACAUGUCUCUGGUGAAUGGAAGAAUAAUAUUGUUUCAUGUAGCCCAAAAAAUUUAAUACUUUGAAAUGUUCAUUGUUGACAAUAACUUUAAUUAACGUGUAAAUCAUAGCAAAUCUUUUUCCCUCUAUGUUUUUGGUUUCGAAAUGAUAUAUUAUAGAAGUACAAAAGAUAAUCCACAAGUAUGAAAAACAUUUUAGAAGGAAAUGUUUAAAUAUCGAAUCGGCAUAUACUGGAUGAUACUCAUUCUUUAAAUUGUGCUCGUAAGAAAAAGUUUAAUAAUUAUAUAUAAAAAGUAAAAAAUAUAUAUUAUUCAAUCACUAAAUAGGCCAAUACGAAAAAAGAAAAAGAAAAAGAGUGCUUUUCAAUUAUCACUAAUGUUCAUGGAUAAUUUAUACAAUUAGCAUGACAACAAAAUUACAAUAUUUCUAUUUCCCCAUUAUCUAAAGAGUUUAUUUAUUUGUUUAACAAACAAAGAGAACCCUUAUGGGAUUUCAUGUUUAAUAUUGUUCUCUUGAUUAUGUCUGAAUACAGUGAUUAGUCAACCCAAUGCUUGCCUUAAUAGACAGGUUGCACAGGCAAUUUUGCCUCAGCACUAAUCAACUUUUUCCCGUCAUGACUCAUGAGCAAGUAAAACACAAGAAAUAUAAAACCAAGGACAGGAGGAAAGCUGAAAAGGAACACCUACGCAGACAAGAUUGCGUGAUGCAUGGCAUGGAGAGGAGAAAAGAGGCCAAAAGGAAAGGUUGUUUUUCUUCAACCAAAAAAAGGGCCAAAAAAAAUCCACGUGACAAUUGAGACUAUCAAAAAUUGCAUGAAAAAAAAAAAUUUUCAGGAAACCUUCUUAUUAUAAAAGAAAAAAACUACAAAUCGAAGGUAAGAGAACCAUGGGAAGUUUAGCUCACUUGUCCUUUUUCUUUCGUCAUCACCGUCCAAAGGCCACCUAACUUUAUCCAAGAACCAACUCAAAAGUGUUCACACUAGAAAAGUAUUGGUGUUCAUGACCAAAAUGACCGAUCUUUUGCCAUCUCUCUCGACCCCAAACAAGAUUCUUGAGUAGUUAAAAGAGGGCAAGGAUCAUCAACUCUGCCAAUUUUAAUUUUUGUGCCUGAGCAAUUAGUUUGAAAGGUAAUGGUUGAGUAGUCAACCUCCAAAUUUUUUCAUUAGAAAUGUAUUAUUCUUCCUUAUAUAUUUUGAAAUAAGUGCACCUAAACUUUUUGAAUAUAUUGAUAUUAUUAGUGGAUACAAUUGAUUAUCUUUUAAGAUGGUGCUGAUUAACACAUUUAGUGUAUUACCAAAUCUUUUUCAUGUUGGUGAAAGUUUGACGUUUGAGAUGAUAUCAUCCUAAUUAUUGAAAAUUUGUGAUUAUUGUCAAAUAAUGACUAUAUAUUCCGUUAAACCUAGUCGUUUAGGACUGCCACUAUUAAUUUAAAAGAGUUUCAGAAUAUUAUUUAUCCUAAACAUAGAUCUUGCUUUUUUGCAAAAUGGUUGAAUAAUUAACUUCAAAAUUUCUUGGACUUAAUUAUGAACAUAAAUUCACCAAAACUUUUUGAACUUUAAUAAUAUUAGUGGACCUAGUGGAUUAAUAUUUUUCUAGAUGUCAUCGAUUAACACAUUUAUUAUACUACCAAAUCUUUUUCCAUGUCGACGAAUCAUUGACUUUUAAGAUGAUAUCAUCAAAAUCGAGAAAUCAGUAAUUAUCGUUAAAAUGAUGACGACAAUAUAUCGUUAGACUUUAUCGUUUAUGACCGUUAAUAUCAAAUUUCAAAUAUUUUAGAAUUUUAUUUAUCCUAAAAAAAAUGCAAAAUAGUUGAUAGAAAUUUAUUUUUCCUUUCUUGUUAUGAAAAUAAGUGUACCUAAACUUUUUGAAUGACAACAUCAUUGGUGAACCAAAGUGAUUAAAUUUUUGAGAUGGCACGGAUUAACACAUUUAUUAUGCUAUCAAUUUUUUUUUUUUAUUUUUUUAUGUUGACGAAGCUUUGAUGUUCAGGAUAACACCAUCCAAACUAUCGAGAAGUCGUUGAUUGUCAUUAAAGUAACGACUGUGAUGUACCAUAAAGCUUAAUCACUACUAUUAAUUUUUAAAAUUUUCAAAAAUUUUAUUUAUAUUUUUUAAAAACCUUAUUUUUUUAAAAAAAUGUUGAUAGAAAUGUAUUUUUCCUCAUUGCAACGAAAAUAUGUGUACCAAAAUUUUUUGAAUUUCAACCUCAUUUGUGGACCAGCUCAAUUAAUUUCUUGAGAUAAAUAACUAAUGCAUUUAUUAUGCUAUCAAAUACUUUUUUCAUGUCAACAAAUCUAUGAUGUUUGAUAUGAUGUCAUCCCAUUUGUCGACAAGUCCUAAAUUAUUGUUAAAGUAAUAACAACAAUAUACUGUUAAAGUUAAUCAUUAAAGACUCUUAAUAUUAAUUUGUAAAAGUUUAAGAAUUUUAUUUAUCCUAAAAACAUACCACAUUUUUUGUUGCAAAAUAGUGAAUAAAAAUAUAUCAUUCUUAUUUGCUAUGAAAAUAAGUGUACCAAAAUUAUUUGAAUUUCAAAAUUUUUGGCUGACUAAAACAACCAAAUUUUUUAGAUGGUUUUAGUAACGUAUUUAUUGUGCUAUAAAUUUUUUUUUCAUAUCUACAAAAUUUUGACGUUUGAGAUGACAUUGACUUAAUUAUUGAGAAGUUGUUAGCUACUAUUAAAAUUAAUCAUUUGAGACCAUUAUAUUUAUUUUUUAAAAUUUUCAGAAUUUCAUUUAUCCUAAAAAUAGACACAUUAUCCUUUCUCACUAUGAAAACAAGUGCACCAAAUUUUUUGAAUUUCAACAUUAUUUAAUAUCGUUGAUAGAAAUAUAUUAUCUAACCUCGCUAUGAAAACAAGUGCACCAAAAUUUUUUGAAUUUCAACAUUACUGGUGAACCGAAUUGAUUAAUUUUUUCAGAUGGGAGUCGAUUAAUAUAUUUAUUAAGUUAUCAAUUUUUUUUCAUGUCAAUGAAUCUUGGACGUUAGAAAUGACAUCAUCUUAUUAAUUGCCAGAAAUAGUUAAUCAUUGUUACCAUAAUGAUGAUAAUGUAGUUAAAUUAACCAUUUAAGAUAGUUAAUAUUAAUUUUAAAAAGCUUCAUAUUUUUAUUUAUCCCAAAAAUAGAAGUUGAUUUUUAUUGUAAACCAACACUAUCCAAUAAAGCUAGUGGUACUAAUCUACCAUCACAAGAAGUGUCCUCUAAAAUCUAUUUUGACAUCACAACAAAAAGGGUUGAGGUACAACUGCACAAUAAGCAUUUUUUUCUUUGUAUUUAGUGAUGCUUUUCAUCACCAUAUAGGCAACAACAUUGCAGAAUGUAAGGAUAAAUGGACGGCUGGAGCCAUUCUUUAGUGUUGCACUUUUCUUUCUUAUAAGGAAACGAAACUUUCGUCAAAUGCAUAGAACCUUGAAACCGACACUACACUAACUGUUUGAGAAUGUAGGACGAUAAAAAUAAGAGAAACUGAGGAACCACAAUGGUUGACACACCUAUUCAAGAAAAACAUUAUGGUUGUGCAUACAACUGAAAACAGAAAACUAACAUCUAGAGACCAAAACAUUAUAAGAUUCAAGAACAAAAUUAGAAAAUCAUUCGCACUUUAAAACAUAGCCAUUAAACAUAACUUUUUGACAAAGUCUAGCGCAAAUUGAUCAGAAUAUGCCAAUCCUAGCCGAAGUUAGAAUUGAGCUAGAGAUGCUCAAAAUUUGGUUCUAUAUUAACAAUAAAAAGUUGUAGAAUUUCAAAAGUUCUUCGAAACCCUAAAAUAUGAUCACAAUCUUCACCAAACCAAUUUUAAAAUACAAAGUUAUUAGUAGCAUUUUUUCGAGCAAAUUGAGAAUUUGAGAUCAUCUCUAUUAAGUCCACCUCUUUUCCAACUGAAGGACUGGCUUGAUCUAUCAUCAUCUUCUCCAUAUUCAUAUUGCUAGGGUAGACCUCAGGAAGAGCACAUAAGACAUUGCCUCCAUCCAAAAUAUGAGAGAGAUAAGCGUCCGAGUACAUACGGAUAGGCUGAUUACUCUCUUGGUCACCUAGAUAAGUUCUGGUCGGCAAGCUUGGCUCAGCAAAAGAUGGAAAAAACCCAUAAUCUAAAUUUCCACCAAAAUCCUGAUUGUUAGAAUUAGUGCUGUUGUACCCAGAAGAGUUGAAAGAAGUAGAACACUUGUCCUUCUGAUUAAUUCCAAUAUCUAGAGGAGCCUUUCCUUUAUCAUUCUUGCAGGAUGUGGAGACAUUCAGGUUAUAGCUCCCAAAUAAGUUUUGCAUGAAAUUCAUCUCAUCAUCAUAUGAGUGUUGAGCUAGAUAGGACGAGGAAUCACCAGAAGCUGAUUGAGAUAGCUCUGGAUAAAGCAUAUUGAAAUGAGCUGAUGUAGGGUCUUCUGAUAUAACGGAGUUAGAUGGGGUUAUUUGGGUAGCUGCACUGUUGACUGGUAUCAUGGUGGUGGAGCUAGGGCCUGUGCUAAUGUUGAUUAAAGAAUCAUCGUUGAAACAAGUACUCUUGAUAUACUCUUGUAGAAUGGUUGAUUGAUUUCUUCCAUUAUGUACUCCUUCAGGUUUCUUGAACUUUUUCUUGGAAUUCUGCCUUCUUUUUGUGGCAUUCCAGUGAUUCUUUAUGGAGUUUUCAGUCCUUCCUGGAAUUCUUUUGCCAAUUUCUGCCCAUCUGUUCCCAACCUCUAUAUGAGCUUCCACCAACAGUUUUUCUUCCUCCUGACUCCAUGCGUCCUUCUGAAAUAUGAUUAAUAUUGAGAAACAAGUAAACAACAAAUAUUAAACAUUAUCCUUUUAGUACAACUGUAGAAUAAUUAUAAGCAAAAAGCAAAAAAUAAAAUUUCUAACAAUAACUUUUAUUGGGUCAUAGUUAAAAACUUUCAUAACAAAUCAUGAUUCCUUGUCUGAAAAGAGUUUCUACUGUCACAUGAAAAAUGGGCUCAAAGAAUAUGAGAAGGAUGACGAAUAUGACAAAAUAUAGCAAAAUAUGCCUCAUUCACAUGUUAAUUAGUAUGUCAAAAUGCUGAUUUGGAAAAUGAAGAAAAACCCAAAAUAUGAUGGUAGAAAACUUAUUCUAGCACAAUAUAUAUUAGAAAAAAAAUACUCUAGAAACAAAUAAUGCUAUCUCCAUAGAUUAAAAAAAGCAAAAAUCUUGGACACUAAUAACUUACCAUAAGCAUAUAUGUGACCAUGAUUUGCUGGCAAAACUCUAAGGUGUAAUGUUGAUGAAAAAUUAUUGUACAUACCAAAUGUGAAGGACAGAUGAUAAAGAUUUGGAGAAUGUUCAAAAAAAUAAGUAAAUAAUUACACUUUCUCUAGAAACUUCAUCAAUCAAAAUUGUAAUUUAUAAAUCUACUCAUAAGAAAAUUGAGAGAAAAUAAUAUUUCCAAUAACAUAAAAAAAGAAGCAAAAGAAAGUUGGAAAAUUGCCAUAAUUAAAAUUCGAGUUGGAAACUUUGGAAAAGAUUCAACACCAAAAGCUACAAUGAAUCUAAGUUUUUAGAUCCAUCGUUGAUUCAUGUGAGAAUUUUUUGAACCUUAUUUGGCAGGAGGAGAGCCAAAAAUAGAAAAUAAACAACCAGAUCAUGUGAAAAAAAAAAAAGGGAUCAUGGUUAUAUCAAAUAUCAUGAACAAUCAAGUGUUAACCAUUAAGUGGCAAAAGAUGGCUCUAAAAUUAGAAAAAAUUAAAAACUAAGUGACAAAAGAUGGCAAGUAGAAAAAACCUUGAUAUCUGGACGCAAAUGGUUAUGCCAUCUUUCCCGGCACUGUUUACCGGCCCUCCCUACCAUUUUUUCAGCAAUUUGAGCCCAUUUCUUCACUCCAAAAUGCUUCACCAGCUUUCUAAGAGUGCUGCACAACAAUUAAAAGAAUAAGUGGUCAACAAAUUAACUAACACUUUCGACAUCAAACUAAUUUUUGCAUGUUACAAACAAGAUAAAUGUCCAUGAAAAAGGAACAAAUAAAAUCAACAAUAGAAACAAAGGAAACCAAGAGGAAAUCCCAUGAUCUUUACUUGUCUUCCUCUUCAGUCCACUGGCCUUUGAUUAAAGCUACAGAUGGGUCACCUUUUCCUCUCCUUCCUGUUCCUCUAGGAACUCUUGGUAAAUCUUCUUCCUUUUCUAAACCGACAUUGGGAUUCAUUUCUGGACUCAGGUUUGGAGUACUUUCUUUGUUGAAAAGAACCCCAUUGACGGAACUACUUGUGUCAUGAGAAGGAGGUAGAGUAAUUGGCCAUGAAAAUACCCCUCCUCCUCCUGCAUGGCCAUGGAUUGCACCACCGCUUGAAGAGGAAACAAAAUCAGAAUUCACUGGAACAAGGGUUGCUUUGUUCUUGAAAUUGGCAAGAAUUUCAAGUUGAGAAAAAUGCCUUUGACCACACAAGAAUCGGUCUAUGGCAGUGAGGGGUGGCCUUGGUUUAAGAAGGGGAAGGCCAAGGUGAUGAUCUCUCUGGCAGUAAUUUCCAUAAGGGAAACUUCCUCCUAACCCUCCUCCUUCCAUGAAAAGAGAGGUGUAAAGGAGUACUUAAAUGAGAAGAGGAAAGGGAUGCUUUUUAGCAAUGAAAAUAGCUUUUUUUAUGAAGGGAAAGUUCUUAAGAUUUUUUUCUGUCUUUCUUUCUUCUGUGAAGUAGAGAAGAGAAGAACACCAUGACUAAGCUUAUUACUUAUAUAGAGGAGUUGCUAAUAAGCUGCAUGCAUCAAUUGCCGUGGAUUAAGAGGAUGAUCCAACGGUUGAGGUUUGGAGGUGAGUGUAACUCCUGGGCUUCCUCUCAGACAAGAAAUAGAAAUUGAGGUGGAGAGAUUAGUGUCAUUUAUUGAGUCUUCUCUAAUUAGACAUUGAAUAAAAAUGAAUAAUUACCACAAUUGUGGAGCGUGAAGUAUUAUGCGCUAGUCAAUUUUGUCUUCCGACAUCCAAAAAAAAAAAAAAAAAAUAGUCAUAGAAUUGAAUGCAUUUUGGGAAGAAUUUCUUUUUCUUUUUUAAGCCUUAUGUCUGAAAGUGAAGUUUGUCAAUUAAUUUCUUUUUGUAAUUGCUUGUAAAAUUGGAAUUUGGUGAAGAAAGCAGGCAUUAAGACAAAACGAAUACAAUAAAUUUUACAAAAUUGGCAACUUAUUUUUUACUUGCAAAUUUGGAUUUGGUAAUGAACAAAGGGGUAAAAAUGGGGGUCAACUGAUAGUAAAAAGAGUGACAGCAUCAAUCAAAAAUAUAGGCAGUCACCUUUAUUAUUAUUUAUAGUUGCUAAAUUAUAAUUAUGAAGAAGGAAAGAAUUAUGGAAAAAAUUUAGCACAGCUUUAAUUGCUCUUGGAUGACAACUAAAUGCUUAGGAAUUUUGGGAUAACAUUACAUUGGUUUCUAAGCCUUCCACUUCCAUUUCUCUUGCCAUUUUCCCUCAUUCAUAAAUUAGGCGCGUUGGCUUCACUUUUAUUACAGGACCAGAAAUGAACAUAUAGCACUCGAUCAUCCUACGGCCAUGUCCAAAUCGGGUCCUCAAAACCAAUAUUACCAUAUUGCCUGGACUAAUCACAAACAUAAUAUAUGUUUCUUUCAAUGCUUUUUUUUUUUUUUUUUUGUAUGCUAAACUCAAAUUUGGCUUCAGAAGCCAUUAUGUUAGUUAGUUAGGUUCCUAUUCUUGGCUGACUUAAUUAGCUUUAUGAAACUAAUAGUAGUUCAAAGAUUUAAUUGGAUAUUAGUUUCCACAAUCAUCAAUUUCAAGUGGUUGGGUUUUUGUUAAAAUAAAUCUACCAUGUAUACUAUGAGCAUUAGUCAUUAUUAUUAAAAAAAAAAUUAUAUCGAGAUUAUUAGUAUUUGGUACAAGAUUGAAAAGUUGAGACGAUUCUACUUUUUUUAGAAAUUAUUAUCCACUUCUAAAAGUUUAUGAACGAUAAAUUUUUUAGUAAGCUUAUAGCAAAAAAUAAAAAUGUCAAGCAUUUCACUAUGCGUUACUUUAAGCUAUUAAAAAUAAUUACUUAUAUGAAUACUAUGCGCUAAUCUUGCAUUUACGGAGGAAGAGGGAAAAUGAGAAAGGAGGAAGAGGAGAGAGAAACAAGGCAAAGGAGAAAAUAUGCGGGAACCGAUAGUGCAUGGAACAAGAAUACUUUUUGUGUAUAAAAUUUUUUUUUAUUUUAUUUUUAGGUGUAUUUGAAAUUGUGUGUGUUUUUAUGGUUGUUAUUGUAAGGUCCACAAACAAAAAUACUUUUUGGAGGAAAAAAAAAGAAAAAAAGAAGACAUAUCCAUGUGGAGACUAUAUUUUUUCUAAAUAUUAUUUUACUUGUAUCAUAAUUAUAAUUUUCAAUCAACUUUUUUAUUUUUCAAUAAUAUUUUUGACUCGCAUACAUUACAUCACAAAUACUUCAAAUGAUCUCCUAUUCAUACACACAAAAAAGAAUUUGCUAAAAACUCUCACCACCCUCUCAUACUCACUGGACCUGCUAUAGAUGACCAGCCGCCACGCUGCAAUCCUUACCACGCCGCUUUCUUGAAUUAAUAUUUCUGAUUCAGCUGUUAGGCUCGAUCCAAGGACCCUCUAGCCCAAUGAUAGUGGGCUCAGCUCGACAUCAUGAUUAACAAUUGACUUUAGCCCGUUCAAUCAUCGCCUGAAGCAUUCAACUGCAUAUCCCAUUGAGUUGGUCAUAGACACCGAUCCGGACAUGAAAUGUCUCCGAUUGUGUCUAUCGCUUUCGGCUUCGAAGCUCCUUUGGACCCAAACUAAAUAUAUCAUCCCACCGCAGUUGAGACUUGCCAAGAGAUCGCAUUUAAUUUGAGAACAAAUCUUCGUCAAGAAGAGGAAGGGAAUGAUGCAAUUCGACCCAAACUAAAUAUAUCGUCCCACCGCACUUAGAAUUGAAGUUUAACACUUUUUUAGCCUCUUAUAUUCUAUGUCACUACAUAUUUCGAAAUUGAAAGGCAAAAAAAAAGGUCCUUAAGGCAAAUAUUUCAAGUUGUUAACGUUGAAUUUGGGGAUUGACUACAAUAAGUUUGGAGUCUUCCUUGACUUUUGUUUUAAAAGGGGAAAAAGAAAGAAAGAAAGAAAGAAAGAAAAUUCUCCCACCAAAAUUAUACUUCAAUCUUUUUUCUUUUUCUUUUUUUAGCCUCUUCUUAUACUCCACCUGACUACAUGAGGUUUUUUCAAAAUUGAAGGACAAGAAAGCCCCUAAAGCAAGGAAAUAGUACCAGGAUCCAUGGAAAUAAUGAAGUCAUCGCAGCAUUCUGCCGAACAAAUGAUUGAGAAUAAAAUCAGGAAGAAAUAGCAGCGGAUAAAAAUCCGAAUGAUGAGUGAGACUAACUUCAAUCAGAGGCCUCUACGCUGGCGGGCUGCUGACGUCAGCCUCACUCAUUUCAAUGCACAAGGAGACGAUAGAGACCUGACAAAUCAAUUGGGCCCUUAUAGCAAACCCUGGUUUGUAGAUUAAAUUACACGACCUGACUUACUCCCCAAGUCUAUUUAAUGAGCAGUAGGAGAGGUGCGCCAAAGGGAGGCAAUGGGGCAGGUGCCCGCAGGGUUGGAAAUGGGGCACAGGAUGAGGCGGGGCAGGGGGAGAAAAUUUACCCCCGCCUCAACAUACACUCAUCCCAUUUCUUGUAUACAAAAAAAUUAUAUAUAUACAUAUAUAUUUAAAUUUAUAGAUGUACAUAUAAUUCAUAUAUAAAGACAAUAUAAUAAUUUAUAUUUAAUAAUAUAAUUUUGAACAUACAAUUAUGACUUGGUCCUAUUAUAUCUCAAUCAAAUGUUUUAAUGUUAUUUUUAUGGUAUUGAGAAGUUGUUAAUCUUUUUUAGUUAUUAGUAUUUACAACUCGUUGAAUGGUCUAAUAUUUAGUAGUUGAGUAUGUCUUUAUUGAAUAUUUUGAAAUAGAAUGAAUGAUAAAAUUGUCCCGAAAAUGAGCAAAUUGAUAAAUAUAAUAUAUUGAUUUAUUCUCCUACUAGGGACCGCAAGGAAAACGAUGCAGGGGCGGGGGAUAUCUUUUCCCGCCCUAUUGCCACCCUUAAGUGCGCCUCGUGGGCAUGCAAAACUAGGGAUGGCAACGGAAGUGGAUGCCCGUGAAUACGCACUCAGAGGGAAGAAAUGGGGCAGGGGGUGGAGUGAGACAGGGGCAAGGGGAAUUUUUCUCUACCGUGUUAAAUGGGACAGGAGUGUCCCUUAUCCCCCGCCGCUUGCCUAUAUAGUAUAAUAUAUAUGUUUGUUUUUAUAUGCAUAAUAUAAAAUAAAUGCUAUGCUAUUGAUAUUAUAUAAAUCUAUUGUAUGAAAUAAGUAACAUGUUAUGUUGUUAUGAUAAAAUAAUGUAAUUUUUUUUUUCAAAAAUCUCAAAAAAAAUCAAUAAAGCUAUUAAUAUAUAUAUAUAUAUAUAUAUAUAUAAAUUGAAAAAGUUAAGUCAAAUAAAAAAAUUAAAAAUGACAGUGGGACAGAGUGGAUACACCUGCAUGGAUAGUGAGAUGCAGCGGGAGCGAGGGAAACUUUUCUGGAAUUGGACCAAUGCGGGGAAGCUUUUCCUGUUCCAAAUCCGCUCGGUUGUCAUCCCUGUGCAAAAUUGAGAAACACGUAGUAGUUGAUAAUUACUGUUACUUCGAAAAUUUAAAAGUAAGCUAAGAUUCCUUCCAAAAAAAAAAAAAAGUAAGCUAAGAAUAGCAAGUAAUGGGAAGUUAAAAGGUAGUAUUUCGCUAAUAAAGGGCAAUAUUUGCAAGCGCAAAAAAGUGUUACACCAACCUCUCCAUUUAGUAGUGGGAGCUUAUUAAUAGUAAGAUAUGUUUGUCCCGUAGCAACUCAUCCGCUGUGAACGAAGCAAGUCUAACGCUCUCAAGAAAUUUCUCUUAUGAUUCAAGGACAAGUGAUGGUGUCGACCGAACGAUUAACCGAAUGCAUAUGAUUAAAGCUAUUACUAGUAAUAUUAUUAUUACUGUGUCUUUUCUUUUUCUUGCAGGUUUCUUCCGCUUGAAUCACAAGGAAUUAGAAUUGAACAGCUAACUAAUACCACAGCUUUCCAAGACUAUAAGGUAGUCGACGGGAACAGGGGAGCUGGCCGGAAAAUCGAAGCGUGCCUGCCUAGAAAUCCCAAAACCUUUAAAUUCACGGCAACAAGCCCAUCAUGUUUGCAGAAGUUGACAAUAAAUGGGAUGGACAUGGACAUAAAUAGAAGCGAGCAGUUGGAAAGAUUGACGGAGACACAAGGCAGUCAUAUCAUAUGCAUGGGAAUGGGAUGGGACUAACAGAGGGGUAGAUUAGUAUUGCCAUCUUUCACGUGGUUCGCCUGUCUUCUUCCCCUUGGCCAAACUCCAAAACACUAGGACUCACGACCUCAUGACCGACAACACCACAUUACUUCAUUUAUCGUGAUCCUUUAUUAUAGGAAUAGGACUACUUUCCCUUCUCUCCUCUCCUAUCCGGUGCUGGGGAAGUUACAUUGAGUUGCAUCAGCCUGGUAUGAAAGAGAAUGUAUAGAGAUUGAAGUAAUCUGUUGGAUGGCAUAAUUAAACAUGCAUUCUGGCAUAAUUAAACAUGCAUAUUCCUGCUAAUUCAUCAAGUUGAUUCACCUUUAACGACUUUCAAUUGAGAUGGCCCAUGAAUUUAGUACCCCCAGUUGCCAUAAGUCACGUUUGUCCCUCGGAACCAUGAAACAUUGAUUUUGAUUGGAGUCAGCACAUCAGCCGUUUCUUCUUACUGCUCUUCUCUUUCUGUACCAUCAUAGUUCUAUGUCAUUCCAGGAUUGUAACAAAAAUCAUGAUGAUGGCCCAAGAAUGGUCCAGCGCUGCCAAGGCAACAUCCGCCACCUUUCGGUGCUGGCCAGGGUUGAAAUGGCUGCUUGUUUUUGUUGGUCAUCUUCAAGGAUGGUGACAUUAACCAAAUUUCCACUUAAAAAGCAUACCCGACGCCCAUAACCAUAUACUCGUUUAAGCAAAAGAAUGGCAUGUUACAGUGCCAUCUCACUGGGACUCUUAGUUACUACAAUUUCUUAAAACUCAAACGCGUGCGCCGCGCAGGAGCUUUCGGCAGGAGGCCGUGGAGAAGCUGAUGAGAAAGACCAACAUUCAAGCGAGUUAUCAAAGAGGAGAGCUGAAUUUGUGCACAUGGCCUAAGAAUCAAAGCCUGAGAUGCUUCAAUCGUACUACUGUUUCCAAAAGAUGGUAGCAGUGAGGAGGGAUGAUGCCUAAGAUACAGUCGACGAAAUACUAAUUAGUUAUCAAACACAUCAGGCAUUACUAUGUGUUUACCACAGCCUUUUUCCACCUAAACAAGGUUAAUCUGUUGUUAUGGCUGAUUAUUACAGCUCUCUAUUAAGAGCAAAUCCUUUGUUUAUUUGGUUAUAACCAUCCCGUCAACUGCAAUAGAAUACUCUGCAACAUGCACUUCCCUUGGUGAUACCCGCCGUUGCGUGGACAAUAGUAAAGUGUAAUUAGGUAUACGCUCCAAUGAUACAAACAGAUGAUCAAAGAUUGGACAGAUAAAGCAAUCUGACUCCAGGCACACACGAAACAAGAAGAAAAAAACACAAGGAUAAUGCUGAUAAACCUAACACUGGAUGAGAAGCAUAGACACCUUUCUCUCCUUUUCACAACAUUACAAUUAAGCGUCCAUGAUCACAUAGGAUCAUUUCAAAAAAUGGCAAUUAUAUAGUGACAAAAGUUUAAUUACAAUUGGCCAUGUGGUUGUGUCACAAAAUGCAAGCGUUGAUUGACAUUCUACCCCAAAAAGAAGAAGAAGAAGAAGAAGAAAAACAUAACUACUCUGUGCAACAGUGCAGAACCCAAAUAAAUCACCGAAUUUCCAAGUCUUCGGUGCGGGGGUAUCUUUAAAGACGAAAGCUGACGAGCAAGAAGCAAGUAGCCUAACAGGACAUGAGGCAAACAAUCUAGUCCAGUUUAUCAUCCAUCCCAACAAUUCCUCCACCCCAAAUUGAACUGAAAAAUAUCUAAAGAAAGAAGCAACAGAAAAGUCAAGAUAUGCUCAAAGAAAAGAAGAAAUAUCCAGAAGGAAAGUUUCCCUCUCUUUUCCCCUUGGCUAGUUUUAUUAUUAAAAAAAAAAAAAAAAAAAUUUCAGGUAUGCUAAUCGACAAAAAAAUAUGACGUAGGAAGCAUCAUCUCCUCUACGUCUCGUGUUUUCUCAUUUUUCCUUUUCUUUUAUCCCACAAGUGAAUUAUGCAUCAUUCUCAGUAUCAGGAGAAUUAAGAGGAAAACAAGUAUCCUCCCCACCAGUACUCCAGAGGAAAUGGGCAUAGUUAGCUGCAUAAUAUGAGUUGCUGGGGUCUGCAGAUAUGGCUUCUAGAUAGGUCUCUUCGGCAGCCCAGAGGUCUUUCCUCACUUGC